RNAcentral lists this unclassified non-coding RNA (140 nucleotides) under uncultured Helotiales. RNAcentral describes it as "sequence contains ITS2". The record is from RNAcentral. Lineage: Eukaryota; Fungi; Ascomycota; Leotiomycetes; Helotiales.
CAACCCUCAAGCACUGCUUGGUAUUGGAUUACACCGUUGUGUGUAUCUUAAAAGUAUUGGCAGCAGCAUUCACCUUCUUGUGUAGUAAAUUUCUCGCUAUGGAGUUGUGUUGUGACUGUCAGAACCCUUAAUUUAUUGAA